RNAcentral lists this unclassified non-coding RNA (345 nucleotides) under soil metagenome. RNAcentral describes it as "partial contains 5.8S ribosomal RNA, internal transcribed spacer 2, and large subunit ribosomal RNA". The stretch from base 1 to 120 matches the Rfam family "5.8S ribosomal RNA", at positions 35 to 154 of the family's 154-position model. The record is from RNAcentral.
GAUGAAGAACGCAGCGAAAUGCGACACGUAAUGUGAAUUGCAGAAUUCAGUGAAUCAUCGAGUCUUUGAACGCACAUUGCGCCCCCUGGUAUUCCGGGGGGCAUGCCUGUCCGAGCGUCAUUGCUGCCCUCAAGCACGGCUUGUGUGUUGGGCCUCCGUCCUCCUCCCGGGGGACGGGCCCGAAAGGCAGCGGCGGCACCGCGUCCGGUCCUCGAGCGUAUGGGGCUUCGUCACCCGCUCUUGUAGGCCCGGCCGGCGCUUGCCGACACAUCAAUCUUUUUUCCAGGUUGACCUCGGAUCAGGUAGGGAUACCCGCUGAACUUAAGCAUAUCAAUAAGCGGAGGA